UACGUAGGGUGCGAGCGUUAAUCGGAAUUACUGGGCGUAAAGCGUGCGCAGGCGGUGAUGUAAGACAGUUGUGAAAUCCCCGGGCUCAACCUGGGAACUGCAUCUGUGACUGCAUCGCUGGAGUGCGGCAGAGGGGGAUGGAAUUCCGCGUGUAGCAGUGAAAUGCGUAGAUAUGCGGAGGAAUACCGAUGGCGAAGACAGGUCUCUGGGCUGACACUGACGCUCAUGCACGAAAGCGUGGGGAGCAAACAGG
This 253-nucleotide ribosomal RNA is filed under the name uncultured bacterium. RNAcentral's name for it is "partial 16S ribosomal RNA". It matches the Rfam family "Bacterial small subunit ribosomal RNA", at positions 524 to 776 of the family's 1533-position model. The record is from RNAcentral.